GCAUAUCAAUAAGCGGAGGAAAAGAAACUAACAAGGAUUCCCUUAGUAAUGGCGAAUGAAACGGGAAUAGCCCAACUUGAAAAUCUCCCUUUGGAGAAUUGUAGUCUAGAGAAGCGCCCUCUGCGGCGGCCGGAGCCUAAGUCCGUUGGAAAACGGCGUCAGAGAGGGUGAGAACCCCGUCGGCUCUAGGCUUAGCUGCUCCACGAGGUGCUUUCCACGAGUCGGGUUGUUUGGGAAUGCAGCCCAAAAUGGGAGGUACAUCCCUUCUAAGGCUAAAUACUGGCGAGAGACCGAUAGCGAACAAGUACCGUGAGGGAAAGAUGAAAAGAACUUUGAAAAGAGAGUUAAAAAGUGCUUGAAAUUGUUGAGAGGGAAGCGUUUGGAGGUUAUAGGUGCGCCUAGGCUUAUACGAUUCUAACGAGCCGUUGUAUGUGCUAGGUGCUGGUCAACAUGGGUUAGCCUGGCGGGAUAACAGCGGGGGUUGAUACCCCGUCUAUGCCGCCGGGUUGAUCAAGGUGUGAAUGGCGCUCUGUCCUUCGGGAACUGCGUCAUCAAGAUGUUGGCAGAAGGCCUUCAAACGACCCGUCUUGAAACACGGACC
Molecule: ribosomal RNA, 601 nt
Filed under: Dunaliella tertiolecta
Lineage: Eukaryota; Viridiplantae; Chlorophyta; Chlorophyceae; Chlamydomonadales; Dunaliellaceae
Description: eukaryotic LSU rRNA
Rfam family: Eukaryotic large subunit ribosomal RNA
Source: RNAcentral